AACUAAACAACCUACAAUCGUAUUGAGAGAAUGUUCCAAACUAAUCUACAACGGUAAAGAAAAUUCAAAAUGGCAUGGAGCGGGGAAUGGCACAUCGAAGAUGAAGAGGCAAAGCAGAGGAUCAAAAAAUAGCAACUGAAUGAAGACAUAAUUCUUCCUGCAGAUUUUGAGUCCAUAUUGUUGCAUCUCUGCAUGAGACAAUGUUUGGUUUCUCCUCUGGAGAGGUGCUGCUACUUUUGGGAGCAACCGUUGCUCUUAUUGGGCCAAAAGAUGUACCGAGGAUUGCUAGAGCGGCUGGCAGGUUAGCUGGUAA
Long non-coding RNA from Cryptomeria japonica (Japanese cedar), 313 nucleotides. RefSeq lists it as uncharacterized. The transcript is spliced from 4 exons. NCBI's taxonomy places the organism in Eukaryota, Viridiplantae, Streptophyta, Pinopsida, Cupressales, Cupressaceae. The record is from RefSeq and is a predicted model, not a curated record.